CUCAUAGCUCAGUUGGUAGAGCACUGGACUUUUAAUCCAGGUGUCCCGGGUUCGAACCCCGGUG
Molecule: transfer RNA, 64 nt
Filed under: uncultured Lachnospira sp.
Lineage: Bacteria; Bacillati; Bacillota; Clostridia; Lachnospirales; Lachnospiraceae
Rfam family: tRNA
About the family: Transfer RNA (tRNA) molecules are approximately 80 nucleotides in length. Their secondary structure includes four short double-helical elements and three loops (D, anti-codon, and T loops).
Source: RNAcentral